GUGCUCACCGGCUGGUUCCAUUAUUAAAUCCCUGUUGUUGAAAGAAUUCUCCCUCGAGCCCUCUUCGAAGCUGUGGCAACCCUCAGUGGCAGUUCGGCAGCCGCCGAACUUGCAGGCCACUGUUUCCCCCCUCCUACUCCUCUCGAUCCGUAGCAUCCUCUCGAGAUUGACCUCCGGGGCAGAAGCCCCGUUGGGAGAACUCCUCGAUAGGGCUCGAAAGACUGAAGGUGGCAGGGAACCGACAGAGAUGGCAAAGAUUGGCACGAAGAAUGCUUGGGGUUGAAAAGGGCGCCGAUGGGUGGCUAAACUCUCAGGCAA
This 318-nucleotide long non-coding RNA is filed under the name Elaeis guineensis (African oil palm). Its description in RNAcentral is "long non-coding RNA (EGUI_LNC066583)". Lineage: Eukaryota; Viridiplantae; Streptophyta; Magnoliopsida; Arecales; Arecaceae. The record is from RNAcentral.